This 19-nucleotide non-coding RNA is filed under the name Arabidopsis thaliana (thale cress). The record is from RNAcentral. Lineage: Eukaryota; Viridiplantae; Streptophyta; Magnoliopsida; Brassicales; Brassicaceae.
GCCAAGGAUGACUUGCCGA